GGAUUAGAUACCCUGGUAGUCCACACCGUAAACGAUGAUUACUAGAUGACGGUUUCCCUUGAGGAGAUCGGUGUCGAAGCUAACGCGUUAAGUAAUCCACCUGGGGAGUACGGUCGCAAGGCUAAAACUCAAAGGAAUUGACGGGGGUCCGCACAAGCGGUGGAACAUGUGGUUUAAUUCGUCAAUACGCGAGAAACCUUACCUGGAUUUGACAUGUUUCUGACCACUCUAGAGAUAGAGUUUUCUAAGUUUACUUAGACAGAUUCACAGGUGCUGCAUGGCUGUCGUCAGCUCGUGCCG
Molecule: ribosomal RNA, 300 nt
Filed under: uncultured bacterium
Lineage: Bacteria
Description: bacterial SSU rRNA
Rfam family: Bacterial small subunit ribosomal RNA
Source: RNAcentral